This 252-nucleotide ribosomal RNA is filed under the name uncultured bacterium. RNAcentral's name for it is "partial 16S ribosomal RNA". It matches the Rfam family "Bacterial small subunit ribosomal RNA", at positions 15 to 263 of the family's 1533-position model. The record is from RNAcentral.
GAUCAUGGCUCAGGAUGAACGCUAGCUACAGGCUUAACACAUGCAAGUCGAGGGGCAUCAGGGUGUAGCAAUACACCGCUGGCGACCGGCGCACGGGUGAGUAACACGUAUCCAACCUGCCCUUUACUCGGGGAUAGCCUUUCGAAAGAAAGAUUAAUACCCGAUGGCAUAACAUGACCUCCUGGUUUUGUUAUUAAAGAAUUUCGGUAGAGGAUGGGGAUGUGUUCCAUUAGGCAGUUGGCGGGGUAACGG